This 396-nucleotide ribosomal RNA is filed under the name uncultured bacterium. Its description in RNAcentral is "partial 16S ribosomal RNA". It matches the Rfam family "Bacterial small subunit ribosomal RNA", at positions 523 to 918 of the family's 1533-position model. The record is from RNAcentral.
AUACGAAGGGUGCAAGCGUUAAUCGGAAUUACUGGGCGUAAAGCGCGCGUAGGUGGUUCGUUAAGUUGGAUGUGAAAGCCCCGGGCUCAACCUGGGAACUGCAUCCAAAACUGGCGAGCUAGAGUAUAGCAGAGGGUGGUGGAAUUUCCUGUGUAGCGGUGAAAUGCGUAGAUAUAGGAAGGAACACCAGUGGCGAAGGCGACUACCGGGACGGAUACUGACACUGAGGGGCGAAAGCGUGGGGAGCAAACAGGAUUAGAUCCCCUGGUAUGCCACGCCGUAAACGAUGUCAACUAGCCGUUGGGAUCCUUGAGAUCUUAGUGGCGCAGCUAACGCAUUAAGUUGACCGCCUGGGGAGUACGGCCGCAAGGUUAAAACUCAAAUGAAUUGGCGGGG